Molecule: ribosomal RNA, 492 nt
Filed under: uncultured bacterium
Lineage: Bacteria
Description: partial 16S ribosomal RNA
Rfam family: Bacterial small subunit ribosomal RNA
Source: RNAcentral
AGUGAACGCUGGCGGUAGGCCUAACACAUGCAAGUCGAACGGCAGCACAGUAAGAGCUUGCUCUUACGGGUGGCGAGUGGCGGACGGGUGAGGAAUACAUCGGAAUCUACUUUUUCGUGGGGGAUAACGUGGGGAAACUGACGCUAAUACCGCAUACGACCUACGGGUGAAAGCAGGGGAUCUUCGCACCUUGCGCGUCUGAAUGAGCCGAUGUCGGAUUAGCUAGUUGGCGGGGUAAGGGCCCACCAAGGCGACGAUACGUAGCUGAUCUGAGAGGAUGAUCGGCCACACUGGAACUGAGACACGGUCCAGACUCCUACGGGAGGCAGCAGUGGGGAAUAUUGCACAAUGGGCGCAAGCCUGAUCCAGCCAUGCCGCGUGAGUGAAGAAGGCCUUCGGGUCGUAAAGCCCUGUUGUUGGGAAAGAAAAGCAGCAGGUUAAUCCCCCGCUGUUCUGACGGUACCCAAAGAAUAAGCACCGGCUAACUUCGUG